This 1372-nucleotide long non-coding RNA is filed under the name Phaseolus vulgaris (common bean). Its description in RNAcentral is "long non-coding RNA (PVUL_LNC003841)". Lineage: Eukaryota; Viridiplantae; Streptophyta; Magnoliopsida; Fabales; Fabaceae. The record is from RNAcentral.
AUAAAUAUUCUUUCAAAAUUAAUUAUGUGAUAACUGUAACACUUCGGAAAAUAACAUCUAACUAUUACAAUACAGGUUCUACAUAUUUCUAUACACACUUGGAGUUUUUCAAAACAUUCCUAAUACAUUAUUAGGAUUUGUAGAAAUACAAAUAUUUACAUAUCCACAGCUCAAAAUAAAACUCUGAAACCUCUAAGGCUCUCAUGCACCUGUAUGGUCAUCUGCUCGUGUACAUAGUACAGUCAUCGCAGUUUAAACACAACAAGAAAAGCAAGGGUAAGCUAGUGAAAAAUAGAAUUUUAUAAUAUACACAACUAAAUUAAAAGAGAAAACCAAAUUACAUGAUCAAUUUCUCAAAUUAUUCAAUUUUCUUCAAAUCUCAACAAUAAACAAUCACAUGGAUCUACACAUCUAGAAUAUUCAACAAACAACGUCUUCCGGAAGACCUGUUUUAAGUAAGUCCUACCAGAGACUAACACCUGAUCCAAAGAUUACCAACGAAUCCAACAGAAAGGAUCAGGGUAAGUUCAAUACAACCCAAGCCGUGCAUCUCAUAUGUCACGGUGUGCAUGAACUCCCCCAUCAGCUUCUCACCACCUGAUAUCUUAGUCUAUGUGACUUAGAUCAGUGAAGCUCGGAGAUCUCUGUUACCACAUAGGCAUCAAUACUUAAUACACAGCAAACAUCAGUCCAUACAUUAUCCCAAAUGUAUGAAUUCAAUUCCAUACCAUUAUGUCAUACAAUAUCAUUCAAAAAGUGAUCCACAAUAUUCAAAAGCGUAAUUAACAUAAAAAAACAACACUUAAAUAUUAAACCAUCAAAAUAUAAUAUUUUUACAAAUUUAAAUAAUAUAUAAAAAAAAUAACCCAAUAUAUAAACACACAACAUCCCUACAAGAGAAAUUGAAUAUUGGGACCACGUCCCUUCCGCAUUCAAAUCUUCUAUCCUAGGGUGCUAUUAAAAAUUAAAUUUAGCUUCCCUUACCUCAAUUGCUUGCUUUCCAAGCAACUUUUAGAAUUUUAUUCCCCACGGUCUGGAUAAGCUUCAAGAUUUACGGGCCUAAUGCAAAUUAUCCAAACAGAACAAAAAUUCAGUAUAUAGUAGAAUAAGUUGAGAGGAUUAAACUUCUCAACUGACCCGACCAAGAUUGAUGACUAAAUCCUAAGUAAAAAUAGAGAACAAAGGAACUUUAGAGCAAAAAUGAACUUACUCUGUUUGAAAAUCUGAUCGGGUAGAAAUGUUCCUUAGCUCCUCAGCUACAGCGUGGUAUGAUCAGAUUCUAAAAUAGAUGAAGAUUGGGAGAGAAAAUUAAGAGAGAGGGAGAUAAGAGAAUUGGAGAGAGAGAAUGGAGAUAAGGAAGAAUAAUGUUUGC